Molecule: long non-coding RNA, 1027 nt
Filed under: Gossypium barbadense (sea-island cotton)
Lineage: Eukaryota; Viridiplantae; Streptophyta; Magnoliopsida; Malvales; Malvaceae
Description: long non-coding RNA (GBAR_LNC013019)
Source: RNAcentral
GCACCAUUAAAAGGUCUAUAUAUAUAACUGUAACAAUUUCUCUUGUUAAACCUUGAAAGAAGCCAAUCAUAUAAGAUGACAAAUUUGACUUAUCAACAACUUUGCUUGCAUUUGAUUCUUGAAACUUGAAAAACUUCCUGAGAACAAGGCAGUCAUGUUUUCAUACAAGUCAAACCAAGCUUCCUUUGCUUGAGUAUUACCAUGACGAUGACAACGUUAUGGCUUAGAAUUUAAUCAAAUAUUGAAACACUUGUCAGAUGAAGUUAAAAAAAAAAAGAAAAAAAAAGGGAUAUUGUUAUUAUGAUUGUCCAAGAAAAAAUAUAUAGUGAAAUCUUCCAGCAGUUCACACAUAAAUUUUUACCAGCAUAUCUGAAAACUGACAUAGGCAACUAUUUUACAAUAAGAAUUUAUAUCCAGUAAUUAUGUCAAUUCAUGUGAAUAAUGUUUGUGUAGAAUUUAGUGAGAUGGAUGCACCAUCAGUGUGGAUCAUCAACUGCAUAUGAAAACCAAGAAAGCACUAACCUGUAGGCCACAAGGUUUGCUUUCGGUCAAAGAUAAUUUGAUCUCCAUCUGGAUAUUUUUGAAGUGAAUCACUUAAUCAGUCCCGUUUAGACACCUAGCAGGCACGAGAUCUGCAGCUUUGACUGUAUAAAUGAUGCUUCAACAUGUCAAUUUGAAGUUAGGAAGAAGUCUGGGUCUGAAGCUUCUCAUUCCUUGCACAUUCCUCCUGAUAAAUUAUAAGCUCUUUGUAAAAAUUCCGAGUUAAGCAGCAAAGGAAGAUAGUGAGAACUGAAACACAAUAUCCACCCAAAGAUGCAAUUGAAUUCAAAAAAUGAUUUGGGCAAAGAAUUCAGUAUGAACUAGUUAUCUCCUUAUUACUAGCUCAUAUACAGUGUAGCUGAGGAUGACAUCUGCAUUUACAAUUAGGCCAUCAGCGAGCAGGCAAGAUUGACAUCCUUGUUCAACAGAACAUGGAGCAUCAGGGCUUGUAAUUUUAGAACACCAAAUUGUAUUGGUCUGCUAGAUC